GGAGAUCACUGCUAUUGGAAUUCGACUAAGGCAUGCGAGUCGAGAGGGUACGGCCCUCGGCAGACUGCUCAGUAACACGUGGACAAUCUGCCCUUAGGCGGGGGAUAAUCUCGAGAAAUUGAGCAUAAUACCCCAUAGCUCUAGAUUGCUGGAAUGCUUUUAGAGUGAAAGCCCCGGCGCCUAAGGAUGAGUCUGCGGCCUAUCAGGUUGUAGUGAGUGUAACGGACUCACUAGCCGACGACGGGUACGGGUCCUGGAAGGGAGAGCCCGGAGAUGGACUCUGAGACACGAGUCCAGGCCCUACGGGGCGCAGCAGCUACGAAAACUUCACAAUGCGGGAAACCGUGAUGAGGGAAUUCCAAGUGCUAAUACUUUGUAUUAGCUGUUUACUUGUCUAAAAAACAGGUAGAGUAAGGGCUGGGUAAGACUGGUGCCAGCCGCCGCGGUAAUACCAGCAGCCCGAGUGGUGAUCGUUAUUAUUGGGCCUAAAGCGUCCGUAGCCGGUUUGGUAAACCCUUGGGUAAAUCGGGCAGCUUAACUGUCCGACUUCUGAGGAGACUGCCAGACUUGGGACCGGGAGAGGUCAGAGGUACUUCUAGGGUAGAGGUGAAAUUCUGUAAUCCUAGGAGGACCACCAGUGGCGAAGGCGUCUGACUAGAACGGGUCCGACGGUAAGGGACGAAACCCUGGGGCGCGAACCGGAUUAGAUACCCGGGUAGUCCAGGGCGUAAACGCUGCGGGCUUGGUGUUGGGGGUCCUACGAGGGCGUCCAGUGCCGGANAGAAGUUGUUAAGCCCGCCGCCUGGGGAGUACGAUCGC
RNAcentral lists this ribosomal RNA (819 nucleotides) under uncultured archaeon. RNAcentral's name for it is "bacterial SSU rRNA". It matches the Rfam family "Archaeal small subunit ribosomal RNA", at positions 19 to 844 of the family's 1478-position model. The record is from RNAcentral.